Panthera uncia (snow leopard) is the source of this 1742-nucleotide long non-coding RNA. RefSeq lists it as uncharacterized. NCBI's taxonomy places the organism in Eukaryota, Metazoa, Chordata, Mammalia, Carnivora, Felidae. The record is from RefSeq and is a predicted model, not a curated record. The transcript is spliced from 3 exons.
UAUUUACUACAUUAAAAAAAAAAAAAAGGCGAACAGGCAAACAAACCCUGGUGAAUCCUGAAUUCAUGUAUCAAUGUGAAACUAUUACGACUCUGUUGGACUUGACUUGUCCUCGAUUCCUCAGGAAUAAUCAGUUUUAGAGGGUCCGGGGAGAACCCUGACUGUUGGAGAUUUUCUUUGUCUGUUUCCGUCAGCUGUAUCAGAUAGGAGUUAGGUUAAAAGUGAAACAUGACAUUCUGACAGUGAAUCCGGCCGACAGAUUCUUGGCUGCGCUCUCAGCUGCACUUGAACUUCUGCUAAGCAUGUGUUGAAAGAGCGCUUUCAACUGCACCAGCUGUGGAGAGGUUAAUAAAACAAAAGAGGAGAAACAAAAGUGCUCACUGCAGAAAGCUUCUGACUCUGCCGAUUCUUCUGGUUACAAACAAGAUGUCCUAGAGCUGUAACUGCUACCGCGUUUUGGCCUUGGAACCGUUUUAAGCAAGUUGAGCUUCUGAGUUAAAGGUUGAAGGCUGAUAAAUAAGUCACACAUCAAAAUGUAAUUUUACCUCUUCUGACCUGGGAACUUGGAAGUCCUUACUUUGCCAUGGGCAAGUGGUAAUUAGGAAAAUUGUGUUUACUUUAUCGACAACUUAGGUAGCUCCUCCUGCAGACAGAAAACUGCACGGGCUCUCUGAUUCUCAAGAUACGUGGAAGUCAAGGUGGUCUUGUCUUCCGGGCUGGGAGUAGGGACUUGUGUUUUCUGUCCCUCUUCCUGUGUUCCACUGCUCCAGGAGAGCUCCAUGUAAUGUGGAGCCUUGCCCAGCCUGCCUCUCAGGAGAGGAUUUUGCAAUCCUGUCUUGCGCAGAGAAGGUCAAUUGCUGACCCACGGAGCAUUUAAACUGGAAGAAUUAAACAAUACCCGGGAGACUGACUGCAGAGGAUAUUUCUUUAAAAGGUAGAGUAUGGUGUGCAGGACAGGAGGGCUAUCCACAACCUCCGUGAAUCCUCCAGAGGCCCUCUGCUCCCCAUAGCUGAGGUCCAACACUCAACAGUGCUGGGUCACCUCUGCUAUAUUAUUGUCCUGGCAUGAGCUGAAGGCAGAUGGGCUAAGGAGUCCAAUCGCUUCACACAACAGUAAGGCUUCCAUCAGGAGGAGGGACAUAAAACCAAUCUUUUACUGCCAGCUUCACUCCUGGCCAUCAAACUGGAGGGCUGUGAUGUAGAAAGCAGCAAAACUAUUUUCCUUUUGGGAAACUGUUGAAAGAAUAUAUGUGGACUGGAACUGAAUGAAGCAGAAAUGGAAAGGAGACAAUUCUGAGACUUUCUCCUCAGGCUUCCUGGGGAUUCACAGCCCCGUUGGAGCAUCUAUCCUCCUGCUGGAACAUUGCGCUUGGCUUCAUGACUUGGUUCGGCUAUUGGGAUGCUAUUGAACAUGAUGGGAGCAGAAGCUUCAAAUAUGGAUGCACAGUUGGACCGGUCUUCUGAACUCCUAUCUUUAGCCACAAGAAGACCAUGCCUUGAAUAACCCUUGUUCCAAGGAAGAUGAAAGACAUGAGUUGCCGAUCUGGAUUCAACCCACGGCUGGGAGCAGGCCUAGCCAAGCCCAGACUGUAUCAGCCAAACCUCAGCAAAGUGAGAAAUAAAGGCUUCUUGUGGCAUGUCACUGAAAUUAUGUGGUUGUUGUGGCAAUAGCAGACUGCUACAACAUUGAGCGUCCUGUUAUCGAAGAGUGCUCCCUUGUCAAUAAAUGUUUCUGACCAACC